AUGGGUGGCUAUGGAUCAUCAUCAAUAACGCACUCUCAGAGGAAAGCCAGCACUGGGGCUACAGGUAGCUUUGGGAACAUGUCCUUAGAAUCUCUUCUAAAGUGCAUACAAGAGCUGGACAUGGAUGACACACAACGCAGACGGAUGGAAAUAUUCUCGUCCAGAAACAGCAGAUUGGUGAACUGAAUGCAGAUGACUUUGAGAAACUCGGGGAGCUUGGAGCCGGAAAUGGAGGCGUAGUCAACAAAGAAAAGCACAAACCCACAGGACUGUCAAUGGCUCGUAAGCUUAUACAUUUAGAAGUGAAGCCAGCAGUUAGAAACCAGAUAAUUCGUGAAUUGAAAGUACUUCAUGAGUGUAACUCUCCAUUUAUUGUUGGAUUCUAUGGAGCUUUUUACAGUGAAGGUGAAAUUUCAAUUUGUAUGGAGUAUAUGGAUGGUGGGUCACUUGAUCUUUGCUUGAAGAAAGCUAUACGCAUCCCAGAGCCAAUCUUAGGGAAAAUAUGUUCAACAGUCCUUAAGGGUUUAGCAUAUCUUCGAGAAAAACACCAGAUAAUCCAUAGAGACGUAAAGCCUUCCAAUAUUUUGGUCAAUUCUCGUGGGGAGAUUAAGAUUUGUGACUUCGGUGUGUCAGGACAACUUAUUGAUAGUAUGGCCAACACCUUUGUGGGAACUAGAAGCUAUAUGUCGCCAGAACGAUUAAACGGUGACCACUACUCUGUUGCCAGCGAUAUAUGGAGUUUAGGGUUGUCUCUUGUAGAAAUGGCUAUUGGAAUGUAUCCCAUCCCACCACCAGACCCUGCCACUCUACAGAAAAUCUUUGGACAGAAGGUCGAGGAGUGAGUCCGUCGCCAACGUCAAGGUCACCAAGGUCGGCUGGACUACCAGGAGAACCACGACCAAUGGCAUAUUUGAGCUGCUGGACUACAUUGUGAACGAACCGCCUCCGCGCUGCCACCUGGGGUAUUUUCUCCAGAAUUCGUAGACUUGGUUGAUCGAUGCCUUAAAAAGAGCCCCAACGAGAGAGCAGAUCUAACCACUUUGCAGAAUCAUGAAUGGAUAAACGUGCAGAAAGAGAAAAUGUUGAUAUAGCUGGUUGGGUGUGCAAGACAAUGGACAUCACACCUUCUACUCCGACUAAGCCAUCAGCUGAGGGCAAUAGUUAAAAAGUUAUGAAGAGUGCUACACAUAUUCUGCUGGCUGGAGGAGCACCAGAACGACCUUAAACCCUUUUACUCUAUGUGAUGUAUAAAUCAUAAUUUAAUCGUUCCAAAUGGAUAAUAGUGUUGUUUAUUGUAUGUCCAAAUUAAUGUGCAACUAGUCCCGGUGACUUGCUAUUUUUGGGCUGAAGACCACAUCAUUCUUGAGUAGUGAUAAAGAAACUGUCAUUCAUAAGAGUGAAGUAAACUGUAUAUUAUUGCUUAUUAGCAAUGACAGAAACUAUAGUGUUUGAAAGUAGUGAUGGAGGAAACUCAGAUAUAUAUUUUAUGAUUGUAUUGUAUAUCAUCUGAAGUUUAAGAAAAACUUGCAUGAGAAUUUUUAGAGUACACAGAUAUUGUGUUCAAGAUAGCACAAGAACAAGUUUAUACAAAAGAUUACCAUUUUGUAGAAACCAUAGUGUAUCUUCCUUAUUACGAGUAGGAGUAAGUAGUUAAUUUAAAAUAUCAAAGGUUAAGUUAGGGAAAAUUUUAUACCACUGGUUGGUUCUCCCAGACUUGUUAGUUCACAGACUUUAUUGUAGGUAUAUGAAAUAGGUCUUGGCUUAAUACUCACUGAAUGUUUAGACCUCUUCAACAUGUGAGAGAUGGUUCAUGAGCUUGUAAAGACUGAAUUAGGAAGUAUGAUAUGGUCAAACCCGAGUGUUUGAAUAGUUAGGUUAAAAAAAAAGAAGCUUUAAGUAUAGACAGAGUCAAUAUGUUGAUCACUUACUGAACUAACAGACUUCACUACUCAAGAUAUGCCUUGGAAAUCAGACCAAUUACCUUGUGCAAUCCAUUUUAUGCUGUAUAUUGUAGAGUAAUGUGGGAAUGUUGGAUGCAUUGAUGUCAGAGUUUAUGCAUCUCAUUCACAAUGUUUCUCUUUUAUGGGAUAGUGUUUUCAAUUUAAACUCUGCAGAGUGGUUGUGCAGGACAAUUAUUAUUUCUGUCAUCUGUGGGCUCCUCUAGGAAAUUGUUGGCAUGACCAAGGAGUCCAUUGGAUAAUUUUAUUGAGUCAUAUAGAGGCUUUGAAAGUUUUUUUUUUUUUUUUUUUCUCUGAAAUAUUCGCAAAUGGUGAAAUAUGCAUUUAUUAAUUGUAUAAUUCUGUUGAUUUCAUAAUAUAUUGUGGGUCUAAUUAAUUGCCAUUGAAUAGGGUUUCAUUAGGGCAACAAUUUUCAUUACUGCAUGCACAGGAUUCUGAAGUCCGUAUUGAGAAGGAUCAAGUUUGGCUUCCAAAUAUACCAAAGUUUAUAUUUUAGUCAAAAAUGUAAAUAAUAAGGUGAAAUGCUUUUUUUUUUUGCAGUAUACAGUUUUCUAGUUCCAUAGCAAUUACAUGCCAAGAUAUUAGGUAGAAACAUGCAUUCCUUGCUGUGCAUAUAUUGAAUUAAUAAUUUUGACAACAAUAAGAAUUCUUUUUAAUUCAUAUGGUCAGAUUAUGCAAAUCAUACUGGCUGUCAUUAUUAUAAUCCAUAUACCAGUUUAUAGAUUUGAAAAUGUCAUUUAUUAUCUGUAAAUUUUGAUAACAGACUAAAUCAUUUUUUAUUUUUUUAUGUUACUGAUACUGAAAAUAUUGGAAAAAAAAUGUAAUUGAAAGUUGCUAGGUCAAAUAUAUGCAUAUGUCCUAGAAGUAAAUGGAACAUUUGAUAAUUAAUGGUAAUUUAGAUAUUGGAAGAGGGUGCAUCGAGAUGAGCAAAAGAGGUUGGAUAUAAUGGAAACUGGAAACCAUUGUUGAGUGUAUCAAGAACAAGAAACAGUCACUGGGUGUUUAGUAAUAGAGUCUUUUGUUACCUAAUAGGUGUUAACUUAUGUUAUAAGAAUCAGCAAAAAUAAAUAAAAAUAAUAAAAAAAACAUUAAAAAAUAAAAAAAAAGUAAGAUUCAAAACUGUAUUUAUAAAUUAACAAUAAAUUCAAAUCACAAAUCUGUGAUAUUCUCACUGUUUCUUAAUAUUUUGAUACCCUGGUGCAGUUUGCCAAAAUGGAAGCUUAACCUUGAUAUCCUUAAAUUAACCCUUUUGGCAAUUUCUUCAGGUAUAGUAAUUCGUGUUUAUGCAUUAUAACAAGACAAAGGUUCAUCCAAAUUUUAACAUGCACUGAAGAGUUGUCUUGAAUACUGUAACAGCUUGCAUUUGGAGCUGCCUAGGUAAAAAGCUAGCAUUUAAUGUAUUCAUAUAUUUUGCAAUUUUAGAAUAUGUAAAAUUAUUUGUGCAUGUUCCAAAGGGCAUACAAAACUACUCAGAAAAUGAGGUUACUAUUUGUAUGAAGUUUAUUAAAGUCUGUGAUUGAG
Penaeus monodon (black tiger shrimp) is the source of this 3479-nucleotide RNA transcript. It is a transcript of the gene named dual specificity mitogen-activated protein kinase kinase 1-like, with no coding region annotated. NCBI's taxonomy places the organism in Eukaryota, Metazoa, Arthropoda, Malacostraca, Decapoda, Penaeidae. The record is from RefSeq and is a predicted model, not a curated record. The transcript is spliced from 10 exons.